GAAAUCAUACUAUACAGAAUCAUUUCUGCAGUGUGUAUUUC
Dictyocaulus viviparus (bovine lungworm) is the source of this 41-nucleotide non-coding RNA. The record is from Rfam. NCBI's taxonomy places the organism in Eukaryota, Metazoa, Nematoda, Chromadorea, Rhabditida, Metastrongylidae.